AGAGUGAACGCUGGCGGCAGGCCUAAUACAUGCAAGUCGAACGGCAGCACAGCAGAGCUUGCUCUGUGGGUGGCGAGUGGCGGACGGGUGAGGAAUACAUGGGAAUCUGCCCAGUCGUGGGGGAUAACGUAGGGAAACUUACGCUAAUACCGCAUGCGCCCUUCGGGGGAAAGCCGGGGACCUUCGGGCCUGGCGCGAUUGGAUGAGCCCAUGUCGGAUUAGCUAGUUGGCGGGUAAAGCCCACCAAGGCGACGAUCCGUAGCUGGUCUGAGAGGAUGAUCAGCCACACUGGAACUGAGACACGGUCAGACUCCUACGGGAGGCAGCAAGUAGGGAAUAUUGGACAAGUGGGCGCGAAGCCUGAUCCAGCCAUGCCGCGUGUGUGAAGAGGCCUUGGUAGUAAGCACGUUUGUACGGAAAGAAAGCGCCGGUAACACCUGUGCUGACGACGAGAAUAGCACGCUAACUGU
This 470-nucleotide ribosomal RNA is filed under the name uncultured soil bacterium. RNAcentral describes it as "bacterial SSU rRNA". It matches the Rfam family "Bacterial small subunit ribosomal RNA", at positions 26 to 504 of the family's 1533-position model. The record is from RNAcentral.